RNAcentral lists this long non-coding RNA (974 nucleotides) under Pan troglodytes (chimpanzee). Its description in RNAcentral is "long non-coding RNA NONPTRT015924". The record is from RNAcentral. Lineage: Eukaryota; Metazoa; Chordata; Mammalia; Primates; Hominidae.
ACUUGUUCCAGGUCUCGUGGAGUAAAUAAACUGGAAUCUGCUCCUCGCUGUCCUGCCCUUCACAUGGUGCCAGAGGCAGCUCCUGCGUGCACACCUGUGGCUCACCAGCCUGUCUGCUCCUGGGGAGCUGGGGCCUCCCCUGGUUUACAUCUGCAUCUCUAGGACACCCACGCUGCACUCUGCACACUGAGUUCUCAGGAGAUUCCUGCUGAGCAAAGAAGGAUGAAUUGUAGGCCUGCUUCUUUUUUUUUUUUGAGACGGAGUUUUGCUCUUGUUUCCCAGGCUGGAGUGCAAUGGCGUGAUCUCAGCUCACCACACCCUCCGCCUCCCGGGUUCAAGUGAUUCUCCUGCCUCAGCUUCCUGAGUAGCUGGGACUACAGGCAUGGGCCACCACACCUGGCUCAUUUUAUAUUUUUAGUAGAGACGGGGUUUGUCUAUGUUGGUCAGGCUGGCUGCGAACUCCCAACCUCAGGCGAUCCACCCGUCUCGGUCUCCUAAAGUGCUGGGAUUACAGGAGUGAGCCACCGCGCUUGGCCAGGCCUGCUUUUAAGGAUGCCCCAGGUCCAGAAAAUCAGGGCCAGCCCUGGGAAGUUCGCUCCUUCAGGCAGGUGUGCAUCUUCAUGUGAGACUUGAUCAGACCUGGGUUUUUGUAUCUACCCCACUCCGAAGCUCUCCUGCGUGAACCUGGAAUUCUCACUGCUUUGGGCAGGCCAGGCCACCACCAAGCCAGAUCUGGCGCCAGUGGAGAAAGGAGACAGGGAGGCAACUGCAGCCUGCCCAGUGUGGAGAGGGGCCAGAGCCCGGGCACUGGCGGGCUGUUGCUGCCAGAAUUCUAGAAGCAGUGUAAACGGGCUGCUCAUUCAUUAGGUACGGGCAGGGUCUGGGCACUGCACUUUCAACACUUUCCUCCCGUGAUUCUGGUGCCGUUAGUUUGAAAAUCACGGCUCAGAGAUCCCUCUGAACAGAAAGUGACC